ACCCGCUGAACUUAAGCAUAUCAAUAAGCGGAGGAAAAGAAACCAACAGGGAUUGCCCUAGUAACGGCGAGUGAAGCGGCAACAGCUCAAAUUUGAAAUCUGGCUCCUUUGGGGUCCGAGUUGUAAUUUGCAGAGGGUGCUUUGGCAUCGGCGGCGGUCUAAGUUCCUUGGAACAGGACAUCGCAGAGGGUGAGAAUCCCGUACGUGGGCGCCUGCCUUUGCCGUGUAAAGCCCCUUCGACGAGUCGAGUUGUUUGGGAAUGCAGCUCUAAAUGGGAGGUAAAUUUCUUCUAAAGCUAAAUACCGGCCAGAGACCGAUAGCGCACAAGUAGAGUGAUCGAAAGAUGAAAAGUACUUUGGAAAGAGAGUCAAAUAGCACGUGAAAUUGUUGAAAGGGAAGCGCUUGCAGCCAGACUUGCCCGCAGUUGCUCACCCAGGCUCCGGCCUGGGGCACUCUUCUGCGGGCAGGCCAGCAUCAGUUUGGGCGGUUGGAUAAAGGCCUCUGUCACGUAUCUCCCUUCGGGGUGACCUUAUAGGGGAGGCGCAAUGCAACCAGCCCGGACUGAGGUCCGCGCAUCUGCUAGGAUGCUGGCGUAAUGGCUGUAAGCGGCCCGUCUUGAAACACGG
RNAcentral lists this ribosomal RNA (626 nucleotides) under uncultured fungus. Its description in RNAcentral is "LSU rRNA". It matches the Rfam family "Eukaryotic large subunit ribosomal RNA", at positions 23 to 664 of the family's 3401-position model. Lineage: Eukaryota; Fungi. The record is from RNAcentral.